Pogonomyrmex barbatus (red harvester ant) is the source of this 436-nucleotide long non-coding RNA. RefSeq lists it as uncharacterized. Lineage: Eukaryota; Metazoa; Arthropoda; Insecta; Hymenoptera; Formicidae. The record is from RefSeq and is a predicted model, not a curated record.
AAAAUAUUAAGAAAAUGUUACAACAAUGAAACUAUGUAAAAAAAAAUGUUUACAUGUGGUACAAAGACUUUAGUGGUAGAGAAGCAGUUGAAGAUGAACUUCGUUCAGGAAGACCUUCCACGUCAACCAAUGAAGAAAACAUUACCAAAAUCAAGGAUCUUGUACUGAGUAAUCGCCGAUUAAGUAUUACAGACAUUGUAGACAUUACUGGAAUAUUAUUUGGAUCAGUUCAAUUUUGAAGAACAAUUUAGGCAUCACGAUAACGCACCAUCGCACACGAAACCAUUCAAGAGAGUUCGCUGGCCGCUUUGAAGGAAAUACCAGAAGUCGAGUAUAAAAAUUGUUUCGAAGACUCGAAAAAACGUUGGAAUAAGUAUAUUGCAAUAGGAGGGAAUUACUUUGAAGGAGACAAAAUAAAUUUGGAUGAAUAAAUAAA